CUGUUGCUUGGGAGCCCAUCCCUUACUCCAGUUUGGAAUAUCCAAUCCCUAACAAUGGAAUCAAAUAUAUACUCAAAGAAAUAGGGUGGAAUUGAGACAGUGAUAAAGAGGGUUCAACUGUACUGAAAUCUAUCUGAAGAAAGACUGUGGACAAGAAUAUGGGAAGGACAGGCUGGAAAGUGAAGAGUCACCAGUUUGGAUCUUUGAAGAGCAAAUGAGCUAGAACCUGGAGUAGAAGAUGCCUUCUGCCUCUCAGUGCUCUCUCCCAGCCCAGAACCAGCAAAAUCUGCCUUUGCCUUCUGCACAGUGAGGCCCAAAAUUCAAGAGUUUAUGGUCUUUCAAUACCUGGAAGCAACCCUUUGUCUCAAACCAGAGGAAAUGCAUUAUACCUGCAUAGACUGAAAGAAGAGACUAAGUUUUAUUCUUUAACAAGUCCAGUAAGUUAAAAAGGUCUGUGUAGUUCCUGCUAUAGCCUUCAUCUGAAUUUCUCUGCCUUGUUUUUCUCAACCGGAAAAAGAAAGACAGCUUGGGAAUAUCUCAUAUUAAAUUAGAAAAAUUCUGUGGCUAAGCUCCUUAAGUAAAGGAGUUCAUUUUCGCUUGCAUUUCCCAAAGAAGAUUGAAGUGCUUCCUCCCCACCCCAUUAGCAAUGUACAGUAGCACUUCCUUAAGUGCAGGUUAGAGAGAAAUUAAGGGAUUCCUGGACAAGAAACUAAUGGAAUGCAGGCAAAAAGUCCAUCACUUCCCUGGAUUUCCACUUACAUGAAUAUAAAAGAGUCUAAUACAAGUAUUGGAAACCGAUAAUGGAAUAUAUGAAAGGGUGGCACCAAUUUGCUAGAAUUAUUGUUGGUUGUGGCACAGAGAGGUCUGAAAUGGAGGACAGACUCAUAUGAAUCCAGGCUCUCCAUCUGAAGACUGGAAAGUCAAGAAGGAGAGCUCUUGGAAGAACCUCCUCCCCAUUCCCUAUUUAGAAGGAUUAGUGAUGUGAUAGCCUGACCGAGGGUGACAAGGAGAGGACAUGUACCCCAGUGACAUGCCACACUCUGUGGGGCAAAGGAUGCUUUUAUUCCUGGCUUACAAGGAACACAGACAUCUGUUGCAAAGAGCCUCAUCUGGCUCCUCAUGAGGACAAACAUGCCAAACAGAACUGGGGCACUGCUGCAGCUAAUUCCUGGCUGCUCAACAAACACAGGAGCUCAGCUCCAGCCUGAGGACUGUUCUUCCCUCUGUCACUGCCUCUGGCUUUAGUUCUGGCUUAGUGACCUUUGACUCAAUGACCCAGGCUGGUUAGUAUUUAUACUCUUAAUGAAAAAUAACAUUAAAUCUAAAUCUUUACUUUUUAUCUUGAGUUUAAAGAUUUGGACAAAGAUCCAAAAAAUCUUUGACAGACUCAAUCUCAAUUCCCCAAACUAAACAAGUAGAGAUGACCCUUUUAGGGUGGGAAAACUGAUGAAAUCCAUUAGAGAGAUGCACAGAUAUUGCUGCUUAAAAAGGUGUCAGGAUGAAGAACCAGAUCAAAUGCCUUCUUAUGAACUAUUGUUACUGUUAAAAACAGAGGGGAAAAGUAGUUUUAAAUUUGUGAUAUUAACAUGAUAGGGAAGUGGUUAUUAAGUGUACAUAAAUAAGCAAGGUGAUCAUGAAGAAAACUGAGGUCAGGAAAAAAAGCAUAGGAAAAAAUUCCGAUUUCCAUACUUGAAACCUAAAUAAAAAUAGUACAUAAAACCUAAAUAAAUAUGGUACAUAUACAUAAUGAAAUACUAUCCAGCUAUAAAAAGAAGAAAACUCCUUAAUUUACAACGAUAUGGAUGGAACUGGAGAUAAUUAUGGUGAAUACAGAAAGACAAGUACUGGGUUAUCUCAUUCAUGUGGAAUCUAAAAAUGAUCUCACAGAAGGGAGUAGAAUGCUAGCUUCCAGAGGCUGGAGAAUGGGGGUGGGAUGGGGGCAGGUUGAUCAAUGGGUAUUAAGUUACAGUUAGACAGGAGCAAGAGGUUCUGGUGUGCUAUUGUACAGUAGGGUGACUAUAGACAACAAUAAUAUACUGUACACUAAAAAACAAGAAAGGAUUUUGAAAGUUUUCACCACCAAUAAAUGGUAUAGGUUUGAGGAGAUAGAUGCUCAACCUUAUUCAAACGAUAUCCAAUGUAUAUAUGUAUCAAACAUUACAUGGCACCUCAUUAACAUGUAUAAUUUUCAUGUUUUGUGUAUCAAUAAAAUAAAAAAAUAAAAUUAUUUUGAAGAAUGUUUAAUAAAGUGAGAAAAAAUCAAAAUCUGUAUUUGGGUAGGAAUAUAAGUUGAAAAUGCUUUGUAAAGUUGAUACUAAUAACAAUGUCUAACUUUUGUGAAGUGCUUUCUAUGUGCCAAACAUUAUACUCAGUACUUUGUAUAAAAUAUCUCCCUAUGAUUCAAUGAGUAUAAGUUCUAAUGAUAUACUUUUUGCAGAUAAGGAAACAAGUCUAGAAUUUUUGGGAAAGUUCUAUUUCUUUUUCAGAAUCCACAUGAUCUCUAAACUAUAAACUGCCUUUGCAUUUUAAAAAUGCAUCUAUAGUAUACAAAAAUAGACUUGCAAGAUACCCUCUAAAAUGAUGAUAAUGGUAGGAAUUAUUGCAAUUUUUGUUCUUUUUUAUUUAUACUUUUAUUAAAACCUCCAAAUUAACAAGCUCAAGCUCUAAACCACUUUCUUGCUUUCUCCAGCACAUGCCCUUACUUGACCUCUUACCCUGCUUUAUUUGCAUUAU
Marmota monax (woodchuck) is the source of this 2733-nucleotide long non-coding RNA. RefSeq lists it as uncharacterized. The record is from RefSeq and is a predicted model, not a curated record. NCBI's taxonomy places the organism in Eukaryota, Metazoa, Chordata, Mammalia, Rodentia, Sciuridae. The transcript is spliced from 3 exons.